Molecule: ribosomal RNA, 274 nt
Filed under: uncultured bacterium
Lineage: Bacteria
Description: partial 16S ribosomal RNA
Rfam family: Bacterial small subunit ribosomal RNA
Source: RNAcentral
AUACAGAGGGUGCGAGCGUUAAUCGGAAUUACUGGGCGUAAAGCGCGCGUAGGCGGCUUAUUACGUCAGAUGUGAAAUCCCCGGGCUCAACCUGGGAACUGCAUCUGAUACUGGUAAGCUAGAGUUUUGGAGAGGGAAGUAGAAUUUCAGGUGUAGCGGUGAAAUGCAUAGAGAUCUGAAGGAAUACCAGUGGCGAAGGCGACUUCCUGGACAAAAACUGACGCUGAGGUGCGAAAGCGUGGGUAGCAAACGGGAUUAGAUACCCCAGUAGUCC